CAAGCCCAGGUUGUCCACCAGCAGCGGUAGAUCACCACCAGGGGGCAGCACUAUGACGUCAGCUGCAACCCAAGAUUUUUAAAAUUACUGAUAGGCUGGUGUCUCAUUUACUGUGGCAGAGGUCUGAUCAUGAUGUUGCCCUGCCCACAGAGUUUGACUGAAUAAUAAUGGUACUGUAGCCUAGUGUUGUAGAAGCAGUACAAUGUUGAUUUGCUUCUGCAGUGCAUUCAUACUUAACCUGGGAUAAAAUGACAAGCAUGCAUUUUUGUUUCAUUUUCAAAGUUAGGCGACGAGGACAUGAUGAGGACAAGCACUGUCAAGUCCUCUUCAGCUCCAAUGAUUAUAUCCAGUGCCCAAGGCUCCACGUCUCUAUGCACCAUUCAUCUCAACACUAACCAAAUGGUGGCUUUGUAACAGUGAUUGUGGGAGGAUGCUGUGCAGGUGUCAACAUGAAUGUGCCGGAGGACUAGAGUAUGCUGGCGUCGACACCCCACCUCCUCCCCUUCAGACUCCAUCGAGGGUUGGUCCCUGUCCUGUGAGGAGAGGAUGCAAUGGGUCUCUGCUUCAGCCGUGGCACCUUCUCUACAACCCUCGCCACUGUCACCAGUUUGUCCCCAUCCUGUGAAGGGGGGUAGGCUUUAGCCCCCUGCCUCAUCAAUCGGCAGGAUAAGCGCCCUCUUCUUUGAAACAGGACAUGUUUUAUUGAUGCUCUACAUGAGUAUUAUAUACAUGUAUAUAGUGCCAUGUGUAUGUUUUUACCUCCCCUACUGAUUUUGUUUACUUUUUUGCACAUUUGGCACACUUAACAUUUUCAGAUAACCACACUAAUAUAAACAUUACCCAUGACCCAAGUAAGCAUAAAAUGCAGUUUCUCAGUGAUUAAUUUAUAUUUUCUCAGAAGCUUUGUAUGCAUUGUCAAUGUUUUUUUUUUUUUUUUUGUAGCAAAUGUGAGACAAGUCUUGAUACUCUCCUUGUCAGAGGUGACUUUGGCCGUUGAACUCUGACAUGCUUGCAAUGUUUACCUAGUCUCUUUCUUAUUGUUGAGUCAUGAACACUUCCAUUUCAUGCGGUAAUUAACACCUCCCAUUGGUAAGAUAUUAUUCUGUGUUCCUUUCUAAACUCUUGGAUCCACAGUCACUGUCUUGGGAUAAUUUUAGUGUGACAGCCAAAAUGUUCACCAUUACAUCAUGUAUUCUCCAUUUAUGGAUAAUGGCUCUCACCAUGGUUUGCAGAUGACCCAAUGAUUUAAGAAAUAACUGAAGAACCUUUUACAGUCUGAGACAUGUAAAUUAUUUUUAUUACAACCUGCUCCCGAAUGUCGAUGAUUCACAGUGUGAUGUCAUGGGUUCGAUAUGAAUUAUCUCUUGGUUUGAAAGGCCAGGUAGUAGUCAGACUUGGGCAGCUGUGAAAUAUAACUCUGCUAUCCAAAAUGAUUUAGAUUAAUCACAGAUACCUUCUCAUUUAACAAUUUACUUUUUCACACAGGCUCAUGCAGGUUUUAUGGCAUUUUUCUAACAAAUGAAAUAACCACUGGAACACUGCAUUUCACGUUUGCUUGGGUCAUUCUUGUUUAAUGUUUACUGUGUUCAGUGAUCUAUACACAACAAAAUUGCAUUUUAUG
This is a long non-coding RNA of Engraulis encrasicolus (European anchovy), 1621 nucleotides long. RefSeq lists it as uncharacterized. The transcript has 3 exons. Lineage: Eukaryota; Metazoa; Chordata; Actinopteri; Clupeiformes; Engraulidae. The record is from RefSeq and is a predicted model, not a curated record.